Molecule: ribosomal RNA, 1318 nt
Filed under: Bovicola ovis (sheep biting louse)
Lineage: Eukaryota; Metazoa; Arthropoda; Insecta; Psocodea; Bovicoliidae
Description: 16S ribosomal RNA
Rfam family: Archaeal large subunit ribosomal RNA (bases 469-1318)
Source: RNAcentral
AAAUCGUCGAAUAACACAUAAAAGUGGUGUCGUAACCACCAAUUACCACCAUGCCCACCCGUGAUGGACAUGGGCAUGGCAACUAGCGUAGUGGUUACGACUAAUUCCACGAUUAUCACGACACAAACAGUGAUAAUCGUCCAAGAUGGGAGUUGUAAACGUCUCUUUGUGGUGGAGAAGAAGGUCUAGAAUAAAGACCCCUCUUGAGCUAUAGAAUUGAGGUUUAGGGUAUGGAUGAAGAUUAUUCGUAGUUAAAAUAGGAUGGAAGGGCUUAACGGACACGGAGUACAAAUAUGAGAAAAAGCAGACGAUUGAGUUGUACCUUUUGUAUCAGGGUGUGAGGAAAAGAAUAGGUAUUCUAGUUCCCGAAUGGAAGUGAUCUCCCACUUUGUUAGAUCUUUCGUUGUAUUGAAAGAUAGAACUGAUGAGGAGAGGUUAUAUACCACCCAGACUUCCCGAUAACUGGUUUCUCGAUGGAGGCACAUAGUGCCAAUUUGUCUAACCCUUGGGUAUAAGCUCAUGGGUUGUGAGUGGUUAGCCAAAGAGAUUUAUUUAACUUUUCUUCAGGAAAGGAUUUGUUUUAACCCUCGGUAAGAUGAAGGUCGGGAUAUGGGACAAGAAUUGAUUUCCUACUAACAAUCUUUCAAUAAGUAUUACUGGGAACUGUUUUUAAGGAACUCGGCAAUUGUGGGGUUGGCCUGUUUACUAAAAACACCGCCUAUAGUGGAAAAUUGUAGGUAUGACCUGCCCAAUGCGUGAAUUCGUUAAUGGCUGCAGGAUAUUCGACUGUACAAAGGUAGCAAAAGUCAUUAGCCUUUUAAUUGAAGGAUAGAAUGAAUGGUAGGACUUGACCCCGACUGUCUCAGGAGCAAGCUAAGAAUUUGGAUUUUGGGUAAAAAUACCCAGAUAAGUCGGUGGGACGAGAAGACCCUGUAGAUUUUUAUCCUCCAUGUCUUAAUCCCUUUCGCUUGAGGUUAGGAGUUGUGAGGAAUUACCUGGGAAGGGGGAGUAAAACAACUCGAAACCUAAAGACCAACAGGUCAAAUGUUGAUCCCCUAUUGGGAUAAAAGGAAUAAAAUACCUCAGGGGUAACAGCGCAAUUCACUUCUGUCGUACAAAGGUAGAAAGGGAGUUUGCGACCUCGAUGUUGAAUUGGGUUUAUCCCUAGGAUGUAGAAGGUCUAGGAGUCAGUCUGUUCGACUGUUAAAAACCCACAUGAUUUGAGUUUAGACCGACGUGAGUCAGGUCAGAUUCUAUCUACCGAUAUACUACCUCUCCCAAGUACGAAAGGAUAGGGUGAGGGAAAGAGCUUUUUAGA